UGAGUGCUCUUGCUGGUACUGAUAUUGAAGUUAUGGUUGCCAUUCCCAAUGAUCAGCUUUCUGCUAUGAAUGAUUAUGAUCGAGCUAAAGAUUGGGUCAGACGCAAUGUCACCCGCUACAAUUUCAAAGGAGGUGUCAAUAUCAAGUAUGAUUCAUUACACCUUUCUUUUUUGUUCUUGGUUAAUUUGAUGUGUUUUAUGAUCUAUACUGACGAUCUGCACCACAUUGAGCAUUUGUUGAAGGAGUGGCUGGCUCCUCUUGUGCUCUUCCUGCUUAUUAGUGUUGCUUGUAAAGCAAAUGUGGGAUAUGAUUCCCUUUGACACCUUUCUUUUUUGUUCUUGAUUUGUUUUAUGAUCUAUACUGAUGAUCUGCACCACAUUGAGCAUUUGUUGAAGGAGUGGCUGGCUUCUCUUGUGCUCUUCCUGCUUAUUAGUGUUGCUUGUAAAACAAAUGUGGGAUAUGAUUCCCUUUGCUCUAAAUUGCUUCAAAUGCUUUGUUGUUAGUUAGGAAUAUGUAUUAAAGGAAAUGGCUUUGCAAAUACACUUAGGCAGUAAAGUGAAAAAUGGAUAAAAAAUAUAUUUCCCCUUACAAAGUCGGGUGAGCCUUGAUGCAACAGUAGAGUUGCUCUUUUCUUGGCUCAUAGGUCUGGGGUUUGAGUGCGUCGGAACAAUCUCUUUGUUCUCUCCAUAGGAGGGCGACCCCUGAUGCAACAGUAGAUUUGCUACUUUUGUGGCUCAUAGGUCAGGGGUUCGGGGCACGGAAACAACCUCUUUGUAGAAAUGCAAGAGGAAGGUGGCAUAUGAUGUACGUCCACCUUUCCCCUAUGCUCGCACUAGCCACAAAGCAUUUAUUUCACGAGUUAAGUCCUUUUGACUUUGGAGUGCAUAUUCUCUCUUCCAAAAUUUCCUUAAAAAGUUAUUGCUUUUCCCUUUUGGAAUGUAGUUAUCCAAAUGGGAGAACCAUUGCUAGUAUAUGUUUCCUUCAGUAAUCAUAUUCAUUUCUUUUUUCUUUUCUUCUUUAUAGCUGCAAAUAACCAACCUUUGUGUGGUCUAUAGAACAUGUUCCAGUGCGAGAAUGUACAACUUCUGGUUCAUCUUUAAGCAGAGGAUCUUUUGUUUUUGGAAAAAAAUUUUGGAAAAAAAAAAAAGAAGUUCAGGAGGGUUAUUGAAGAGCAGCAGUAUGACUAUUCUCUUAUUUGCGAUCAUCAUUUUGGCUCUUCCUGUCUAUUCUUUGUGUAUUCACUUUAUUUCAAACUGAAACGUGGGGUUUUACUUUGAAAUUAAGCUAGUGUUUGGCUGAAGUUAUGGUUAGCUUUUAGUUUCGAACCCUGACAUAGACAAAAGCCUGCUAUUUAACUGGAUACGGGUAGAGGUGGGGCGGAGUUUCGAAUUGUGCGCCACUGGUUCUUGGGAAUUUUACAAUUAUCCGCAGAAAAAGAAAAGAAAACAAGUAGUUAUGAUUAGCUUGAUCCUUAUCUUUUAGGAAACAAAGUGAAGGAAGAUAGAGAGAUAAUUUCUCACAAAACAUCUGCUUUCCUUAUAUUAAAAAAAGAUGGUGAGAUACAUCCAUGAAAUCCAAUCAUUUGGAAGUCUUAUGGCUUUGAAAUGGUAUAUAAAGUAUCCGAUAGUAUGAUCAAACAAUACUGACUUUAAAAGCCAAACUAUGCAUUUAAUUCUGCAGUAGGUAUAACUCUUUAAACUGUACUUUAACUUCUUUCCUUUGUAUGUGAGAAUCCUUUGUCAUCUGCAUUCUGUACUGGAUCUUUAGUUCUGUCAUUCGAAGUAAUGAAAUACAAGACCAUAUGGCACUAAUAAAUGGUCCUUCAAAAUUGAAGAAAUCAUUUCGUAGACAGUUUGCGUUUGUAUUGUGUAAAAGCAUUUUAUUGCUACUGUCUUUGUAAUAGCUCUGCACCCACUUUUAUCAACAAAAUAUUGCUGACAGUUCACAGCAGAAAAGUAUGUAAAGUUUAUUUCAAACAUUUAUAUAGUUCAUCUAGCUGAUUUCUGUACAAAAUUUAUGUCUUUAUCUCUGCAGGUAUGUUGCAGUCGGUAAUGAGCCUUUCUUGACAUCGUACAACAACUCCUUUAUUAACACGACCUUCCCAGCACUUCAGAACAUCCAAAAUGCUCUAAAUGAAGCAGGACUUGGGAACUCGAUAAAAGCAACUGUACCUCUAAAUGCCGAUGUUUAUUUCUCUCCAGAGAGCAAUCCCGUGCCCUCUGCUGGGAGAUUCCGACAGGACAUCAAUGAUCUAAUGACCCAGAUAGUGCAGUUCAUGAACCAGAACAACGCACCUUUCACAGUAAACAUUUACCCUUUUCUAAGUCUUUAUGCUAAUGAACAUUUCCCUGUUGAUUUUGCCUUCUUUAAUGAUCUAAUGACCCAGAUUGUGCAGUUCAUGAACCAGAACAACGCACCUUUCACAGUAAACAUUUACCCUUUUCUGAGUCUUUAUGCUAAUGAGCAUUUCCCUGUCGACUUUGCCUUCUUUGAUGGAGCCAGUAACCCCAUUCUUGAUAAAGGAGUCACAUACACCAAUGUAUUUGAUGCCAACUUUGAUACCCUAGUUUCAGCUUUGAGGGCAGCAGGUGUUGGCAACAUGACCAUUCUUGUUGGGGAAGUUGGGUGGCCCACCGAUGGUGACAAAAAUGCCAAUGUCAAUCUUGCUUAUCGGUUCUUUAAGGGGCUCUUGUUGGGGAAGUUGGGUGGCCCACGGAUGGUGACAAAAAUGCCAAUGUCAAUCUUGCUUAUCGGUUCUUUAAGGGGCUGUUAUCCAGGCUUGCAGCCAACACGGGAACGCCUCUUCGGCCUGGAUAUAUUGAAGUUUACUUGUUUGGGCUUAUUGACGAGGAUGGUAAAAGUAUUGCUCCUGGUAACUUUGAGCGCCACUGGGGAAUCUUCCGGUAUGAUGGACAGCCAAAGUUUGCCAUGGACCUUACAGGUCAGGGACAAGAUAAGUUUCUCGUAGGUGCACAAAAUGUGGAAUAUUUACCUAAGAAAUGGUGCAUGCUUAAUCCGAAUGCGAAGGAUUUGAGCAAACUUGCAGAUAACAUCGACUAUGCUUGCACAUUCUCAGAUUGCACGGCAUUAGGAUAUGGUUCUUCGUGC
This 3108-nucleotide long non-coding RNA is filed under the name Nicotiana benthamiana. Its description in RNAcentral is "long non-coding RNA (NBEN_LNC012223)". Lineage: Eukaryota; Viridiplantae; Streptophyta; Magnoliopsida; Solanales; Solanaceae. The record is from RNAcentral.